This 405-nucleotide ribosomal RNA is filed under the name uncultured bacterium. RNAcentral's name for it is "bacterial SSU rRNA". It matches the Rfam family "Bacterial small subunit ribosomal RNA", at positions 28 to 434 of the family's 1533-position model. The record is from RNAcentral.
GAUGAACGCUGGCGGCGUGCCUAACACAUGUAAGUCGAACGGUGAAGCCCGCUUUAUAGUGGGUGGAUCAGUGGCGGACGGGUGAGUAACACGUAGGUGACCUGCCCCAAAGAGGGGAACAACUUUGCGAAAGUGAAGCUAAUACCCCGUGUGAUCGGCCAUUCGUUUGGUCGAUUAAAGCUACGGCGCUUUGGGAGGGGCCUGCGGCCCAUCAGCUAGUUGGUAGGGUAAUGGCCUACCAAGGCGAAGACGGGUAGCUGGUCUGAGAGGAUGAUCAGCCACAAUGGCACUGAAACACGGGCCAUACUCCUACGGGAGGCAGCAGUGAGGAAUAUUGGACAAUCAGCGAAAGCUGGAUCCAGCAACGCCGCGUGGACGAUGAAGGCCUUCGGGUUGUAAAGUCCU